GAUGAACGCUGGCGGCGUGCCUAAUACAUGCAAGUCGAGCGAACAGACGAGGAGCUUGCUCCUCUGACGUUAGCGGCGGACGGGUGAGUAACACGUGGAUAACCUACCUAUAAGACUGGGAUAACUUCGGGAAACCGGAGCUAAUACCGGAUAAUAUAUUGAACCGCAUGGUUCAAUAGUGAAAGACGGUUUUGCUGUCACUUAUAGAUGUAUCCGCGCCGCAUUAGCUAGUUGGUAAGGUAACGGCUUACCAAGGCAACGAUGCGUAGCCGACCUGAGAGGGUGAUCGGCCACACUGGAACUGAGACACGGUCCAGACUCCUACGGGAGGCAGCAGUAGGGAAUAUUCCGCAAUGGGCGAAAGCCUGACGGAGCAACGCCGCGUGAGUGAUGAAGGUCUUCGGAUCGUAAAACUCUGUUAUUAGGGAAGAACAAAUGUGUAAGUAACUAUGCACGUCUUGACGGUACCUAAUCAGAAAGCCACGGCUAACUACGUG
Molecule: ribosomal RNA, 497 nt
Filed under: uncultured bacterium
Lineage: Bacteria
Description: partial 16S ribosomal RNA
Rfam family: Bacterial small subunit ribosomal RNA
Source: RNAcentral